Long non-coding RNA from Mus musculus (house mouse), 4074 nucleotides. RefSeq annotates it as predicted gene, 32702. The transcript is spliced from 3 exons. Lineage: Eukaryota; Metazoa; Chordata; Mammalia; Rodentia; Muridae. The record is from RefSeq and is a predicted model, not a curated record.
GGACCAUGGGAAAUUUAGUGAGUGGCUUAGAUUCCCUAAAUAAUACACUGGAGUACAUUAAACAUACCCACAUUUUGGAGGAGCAUAUAGUACCUAUUGGCUUCUAAAAACAUUUUAUUUUUUUAAAGAUUAGAUUAAAUCUUAGGGCAUUGUGCCAGGACUUCAGACAGCAGAGCACCAAGGUCAUUGCUGGCCUGAGGCCACACAGUGGGAGGGAGGCCAGGCAAGCUCAUGUUACACACUGCAUGUCGAAAAUCCUAAGUAUGAACUGAAUGCUCCUCUGUCCCCUCCUGGGUCAUACCUGUCUUUUCCUGGGUCACACCUGUGAAGACUGGCCAUUCUUAGAAGGAAAGUCCCAGCCCUGUCAGCACGCCAUUGAUCCACACACCAAUCCAGCUGUUGGUGUGAGCCCCACACCUCCCAGCACAGGCAGGUUCCUGGAGGUUAUGGACACAGCAGCCUCGGAUCCCAUAACAUGUGGGAGACAGUGAAGCACUGUGCUGUGAUCCCAACACCUGGCCUCACCCAAACUGUGCAUGCUGGGCAUUUCUGUUCUGCUGUGGCUUUCAACAACUUUGAAAAGCUCAAUAAACUCCUAAUAAGUAAGGAGGAAUGACUGGAUGACUAUUAGGCACAUAAAUACAGAAUAUGUGAGAAAAAUUAAAAUAUAAGUAAAAAUAUAAGUAAGAAAAAUGUAAGUAAAAAAACUCUUGUUUUUAGAGCAAUAAUUAUAAUUCAAUGCUUAGCUUGGGCUGAUUCCUGGAGCAUUUCAAAGUAUGCACAUAUACACAUAUAAAUAUUUAAGAUAUAUAUGCAUACAUGUACAUAAUUACAGAUACACACACACACACACACACACACACACACACACACAAUGCAAUAUCAAGGAAAAACAAGAGAACCGUGUAAGAGAGGCUCUGUAUCUACUACUACAUGGUAGGAUGCAAUAAGAAGGCACAGGGAUGGAUAAAGGGCAGCAUGGGGUUAUCCCGGGAGUAGUCAGGGAAAACUUUAGCAUGGGAUAAAGACCCAGACUUGGCCUAUGUGAGCAGGCAGGGAAGAAGUGUGCACCCGAGUACUAGACAAUCUCUAAGCAUAAAAGGAACAUGGCCGACUCAUGGGAAAGCUCAGAGAAGCCUCUGGACCCUUGGAGAUAAUAUAUAUAUUUAUAUAUACAGACACACACACACACACACACACACACAUCACAAGCUGGGUUCUGGAGGGCCUCACAGGGGGAGAAGUGAUGACAUCGGUUUGCACAGGAAGCGGGGAGCUCCUGGCAGCUUCACAGAAGAGGCGUGACAUGUUGACAGCGGUAAUUACAACCAAUUAAUCUGUAUAAUAGAUGCCUCCGAGACACUGCUGAGGGACUGGGGGCCUGUGAGCUGGAGGAACUGGGCAAUGAAGGAUUACAGAUCAGACACAAGGUCUAAGUUCAUAGUUCACAAAGGCCAGCUUGAGGAGGGCUGCACACCCACACUCCUGCCAGCCUCGAUCUGUGAGCAGAAGCACAGAGGAUUCAGCCGAUGCCUCCAGCACCAGGUGGGACGGCUGAAGAGAAAGGAUGCACAAUGCAGGUGGCAGAUGGUACUCUCUACAGCGUGUUCUAGAGACAGAGAACAGGAGUUCCCCAUUGCUCAGCUGACCACUGUGACACUUGAUAGAUCAAUUCCUAUGGCAACGGCUCUAAGCACAAUGCACUAAAAAUAAAACGUGUGUGUGUGUGUGUGUGUGGUUUAAAUAGAAGAUAGAUGCUUGUGAUUGUCUCCAGGGAGGUUGCAAGGGUCAGAAUGUGGCCACUGGCAUCCCGGGCCAUAGACAGAUUUCUCUUUCACUCUGUAAUUCCCAACUGGGCAUCUAAUCUGGCUAAAAAAUGGGAGAAAGUCUACAAUACAGAGCAGCUUUGAGAACCAACUGUCUGAGAAUACUGAUCACAAAGACUUAAAAACAAGCAACUUUCAAGUCUAAUGAUAGGGACUGUACUUCGUGGUGAAACCCUACACACCAUUCUUACUUGUAACAGUAAAGCCGAGGCAAGGGGAUGUUGCAAACAUAAAACAGUGCAACAUUUGUGAAGUUUUUGUUAUUUGAAUUCACAUAUGAAAUGGCACAGUUGGAGUUAAGAUGGUAGAAUUCAGGGGUUUGCUAAUGAAUGGACUGGCCAAACCUUGGCAUAAGUAAAAAUGCAGGUAUAUAAGAAACAUUGCAAGAAGAUGAACCAACGUAGAUGAUACAGUUUUUAUGUCAUGGGGAAUAGGAGUCAAAGGAAAUCACUUUUAAGGGGCCUAGCAUGAAUCCGUGCCAUGUGUACACAGUGAGUCCCUGUAGGAUGCUCUGAGGAGUGGGUCAGCUCAGCCUUUGCCCCUGGCAUCCUCCAGCAGGGACAGACAUGGCUUUCAGCUUGUGGAGUAAAAUGUUGCACUGUCAAAGCGGUAGGCACUCCCUCCCAUGACACACCUCCUGUUCUCAGCUGCCUUAUAUGACACUGCUUCUGUUGGGUGCCAGGCUCUAAAUGGCCUUCUGCUUAAAAGCAGGGUGACAGGCUGAAGAAAACUGUCAUUACUGAGAACUAUUUAAUCAUGUUGCCUGCUGUGUAUACCACUAUAUUACACCAUGAUAUACUAACCGUCCAUGACUAUGUAUAUAUGAUGCAUUAUGCAUGUGUGCAUGUAGAACCCUAACUAUAUAUGAUUUUACAUAUAGUAGUGUGGCUAUAACUAUGGUUACAUGGUGACUUUUAUGUAAUGUGAAUGUGCCACAUUCAUACACAACUGUCCCUUGGUAUCUAUAAGGGAUUAGUUCCAGGACACUCCUGAAUCCCCAAAUCCAUAGAUGAUCAACUCACUUCUAUGAAAUAUUUACAUAUAAAUAUUUGCAUAUGCAAACAUGAAAAGGAUCUACAUGGUGCCUCCUCUCCCUUAUGUUAAAUUGCCUCUGGAACACUUUAAAUACCUGAUGUAAGUAUACAUGCUUAUAGUUCAUGGCUUAGGGAACUCUAAAAAGAAAAGUCUAUCUAUGUUUGGAGGAUCCUUUCCCAGGAAUAUUCUUGAGCCAAGGGUGGUUGGAUGUACAGGCACAAGACACAUAGAGAUGGAGAGCCAACCACAUCAUUACGUCAGUAUGAGGUCAUCAUUCAAUAUCUAUCACCAUAGUUACAGAUAUCUAUCCAAACAUUCUCCUUAGUAGGCUAUGAAAGACACUGGGAGGUGUGCUCACUAAUGAGGUGAGCUGGGCAUGAAGACGUGAUUUUUCCCUGUGUGCCCUUCCUUUGGACCUUUUAAAUGCAAAAAAAAAAUGUGUGGAUAUGGGAAAUAAACCGUUACAGCCCUUAAUUAAGGUGCUAUCCACCCUGCACAUAGGAUAUAAAAAAGAAGCAAAAUGUUCCCCUUUUAUCUGAGCUAGAGCAAAGCCAGCCAGGUCCUGCUCUCCAGCCAUUCGUGCUCUCCUUACCCGUCCUUCCCAAGGCCUCUCCAAGCAGCUCAACCUGAAGCAGCUCACCAGGGGGCAGCAUUUACUGCUGGGUGAGCUGCUUCUACUUCUUGAUUUUACAUAGAGAUUAAUAAUUAAUGACAGCCCUGCCACCCAGAGUACCUUUCUGGGACCAAAGUCACCUGGAGAGUGUCUUCUCUGUCACAUGUCUCUGCCCUGGAGUCUCCAUAUAUCUUGGCUCAGGGAGUAUAGACUCUGAGCUGGGCUGGGCUGCAAGAGCCCUGGGGGGACUACAGGCCUCACACCUUGGAAAUCAUCUAAUAUUGCUGUAAGUUAAUAGGCUGCUUUUUCCUGUCAGUUUUUGUUGUUGUUGGUUUUUGUUGUUGUGGUGGUUGUAAUUUGUUUGUUUGUUUUAACCAUCUACCUGCUUUGAGAGGUCAUGAAAGCAGAGAGGAAGGCUGGCACAGCCUGGAGCUGGCAAAACAAGUCUCUUUAGCACAGUUCAACCAGGACCUGACACCUUAGUGGCUAACUGCCAUGGAUUCUUACCAAGAGCUUCCACCAUGUGGAGACUUUCCAGACAAUGAGGUAUUGUGUCCCUUAUCUACAAUGUCAUCGUUGGCCUGCAUUAAGCAGUCAUCA